Molecule: ribosomal RNA, 197 nt
Filed under: uncultured bacterium
Lineage: Bacteria
Description: partial 16S ribosomal RNA
Rfam family: Bacterial small subunit ribosomal RNA
Source: RNAcentral
ACGCUCGACACCUACGGGGCAGCAGUCGGGAAUAUUGCGCAAUGGAGGAAACUCUGACGCAGUGACGCCGCGUGCAGGAAGAAGGUUUUCGGAUUGUAAACUGCUUUAGACAGGGAAGAACAAAUGACAGUACCUGUAGAAUAAGCUCCGGCUAACUACGUGCAGCAGCCGCGGUAAUCUGAGCGGGCUGGCAAGGC